UAGCAGUGGGACAUGAACUGCUCAGGUAGCCUCGUCUUUCCUCCAGAGAUGAAGAGGAAGCUCUUCACCCGAUUUCCGUUAAACCUCGAUGUUGAAAUCACUUGGAAAAAGAAUGGGAUUUCUUUGUUGACGGGAGAUAAAUACUGGAGUGUCAACGAUCAGUUGUUUGCUGGAACAGGAUAUCCAAAUAGCAAGUGCAAGAUCUGGAUGUGGCUUUGUAACAGUGACCUGUCCACAUUGAUGGUUCAAUGUUAAUUGUCAGUCAUCUGGGGGGAAACACAAAGGGGUUUCUAAUGGAUGUGAUUUCCUGGAUGAUACCUUUUGUUGGAUACAUACAUUGGAAAGUUUUAUUCUCGUGGAGAAGACCACAACUGAGGAUGUCCCAACACGUUCGAUCUCUGAAUCAUAAUAAACAUCAGCAGGAGACACCUUUCGCCAUGCAUACCUGAGACAGAUUCAGUGCUAGAGGAGAAUACCCGAAAUCGCAAGCUUCAACAUUUAGAACUCAGACUGUAUUGAAUCUCACAAUACUGCUGCAGAAUGACCACGGGCUGUUCAUAGCUGAAACACUAGAGAUGGAGAAUCACACAAGAUACUGGAGCAACAGAACACCAAAGUACUGCUGAGCCUGAAUGAUCUAAGGGAGAUGGAUGCUAGCAGUGGGACAUGAACUGCUCAGGUAGCCUCGUCUUUCCUCCAAAGAUGAAGAGGAAGCUCUUCACCCGAUUUCCGUUAAACCUCGAUGUUGAAAUCAUUUGGAAAAAGAAUGGGAUUUCUUUGUUGACGGGGGAUAAAUACUGGAGUGUCAACGAUCAGUUGUUUGCUGGAACAGGAUAUCCAAAUAGCAAGUGCAAGAUCUGGAUGUGGCUUUGUAACAGCGACCUGUACACAUUGAUGGUUCAAUGUUAAUUGUCAGUCAUCUGGGGGGAAACACAAGGGGGUUUCAGAUGGAUGUGAUUUCCGGGAUGAUACCUUUUGUUGGAUACAUACAUUGGAAAGUUUUAUUCUCGUGGAGAAGACCACAACUGAGGAUGUCCCAACACGUUCGAUCUCUGAAUCAUAACAAACAUCAGCAGGAGACACCUUUCAUUAUGUACACCUUGGAUGGAUACAGUGCUGGUAUCCCAGACCGAGGAGGUUCAGUCAACAUGCUUCAAUAUCGCAAAGGAUUCUGUUUCUGCUUAGUGUGUAAAGGCAUCUUCUGUUAACGCAGAAAGGUGGUAAGUGGUAAGACGAGGGAUUUUGAGAGUCAGGAUGUCACUGAUGUGGUGUUUGUGACAGUCCUGACUGUGAGCCAAAAACCCAACACAGUCCUGGAAUUAAAUUAGCCCAUCCUCUGGUAACAACGGUCUCCCUUUAUUCUUGCUUGUCUAAUGUGCAAUGUUAUAAAGUUAUCCUUGAUUGAUAGUACUACUGUAUGAUCAGCUGAGGUUAUUUUCAAUAUAAUGUGAUUCCGUCUGGUUUGGGCAAUAUAUUUGGAUUAACCAGCAUGACAUGAUGCCUCACAUAACCAGUUGGUCUACACAAAAUAGUGACAUUUUUCUUUCCCCUGCUGAUGCUGCUGUAACUAGCAGAUGGACCUUCUCAAGCUGCUGAUCCUGUUCUUGACCACACCUGAAGUCCCACAUGAGCACUGUUCAGUGGGUAGUAAACUGAUGCAGGAAUCCUGUUUGUUAUCACCAAGUGCAAUGACCAGAUUCCUGCAUCUAGCCUGGCUGAUAGCAGGUCAACCCACUCCAAACCGGAAACGUUGAAAUUGUGUUUUUGUCUUUCUGUAGGGAGAUGGAUGCUAGCAGUGGGACAUGAACUGCUCAAACAGUCUCGUCUGUCCACCAGCAAUGAAAUGGAACCUCUUCACCUGAUCUCCAUUAAACGUCAUGCAGCAAUCACCUGAAAAAUGUUGAGACUUAUUUUUGACAAAAAGUCACAGACCUGAAAUAUGAACUCUGUUUCUAUUUUUCCACAGAUGCUGCCAGGCUUGUGGAAUGCUUCCAGCAAGAUCUCUUUUCAUGAAACAUCAUUUCCUGGUUAUGAGUGUGUCAACAAUCAGUUAUUCGCUGGAACAGGAUAUCUAAAUUGCAAGUGCAAGAUUUGGAUGUGGCUUUGUAACAGCGACCUGUACACAUUGAUUGGUUCAAUGUUUGAUAUGUGUCAGUCAUCUGGGGGGAGAUAGAAUGGGUUUCUGAUGGAUGUGAUUUCUGGGAUGAUACCUUUGCUGGAUACAUACAUUGGAAAGUUUUGUUCUUGUGGAGAAGACCACAACUGAGAAUAUUCUGACACAUUUGAUCUCUGAAUCGUAACAAACAUCAGCAGGAGACACCUUUCCUCAUGUAUACCUUGGAUGGAUCCCAAAUCAAGGACGUUCAAUCAACGCACUUCCAAAUUUUAAAGGAUCCUGUUUCUCCUCUUGGUGUGUAAAGGCAUCUUCAGUUCUUAACGCAGAAAGGUGGGAGAUGGAUGCUAGCAGUGGGACGUGAACUGCUCAAACAGCCUCGUCUGUCCACCAGCGAUGAAAUGGAACCUCUUCACCUGAUCUCCAUUAAACGUCAUGCAGCAAUCACCUGAAAAAUGUUGAGACUUAUUUUUGACAAAAAGUCACAGACCUGAAAUAUGAACUCUGUUUCUAUUUUUCCACAGAUGCUGCCGGGCUUGUGGAAUGCUUCCAGCAAGAUCUCUUUUCAUGAAACAUCAUUUCUUUGUUGACGGGAGAUAAAUACUGGAGUGUCAACAAUCAGUUGUUUGCUGGAACAGGAUAUCCAAAUAGCAAGUGCAAGAUCUGGAUGUGGCUUUGUAACAGCGACCCGUACACAUUGAUGGUUCAAUGUUAAUUGUCAGUCAUCUGGGGGGAAACACAAGGGGGUUUCUGAUGGAUGUGAUUUCCGGGAUGAUACCUUUUGUUGGAUACAUACAUUGGAAAGUUUUAUUCUCGUGGAGAAGACCACAACUGAGGAUGUCCCAACACGUUCGAUCUCUGAAUCAUAACAAACAUCAGCAGGAGACACCUUUCGCCAUGCAUACCUGAGACAGAUUCAGUGCUAGAGGAGAAUACCCGAAAUCGCAAGCUUCAACAUUUAGGGAGGUGGAUACUAGCAGUGGGACACGAACCAUUCAAACAGCCUCAUCUGUCCUCCAAAGAUGAAAUGGAACCUCUUCACCUGAUCUCCAUUAAACCUCGAUGCUGCAAUCACUUGGAAAAAUGGUGAGGUUUAUUUCUGACAAAAAGUCAUAGACCUGAAAUUUGAACUCUGUUUCUGUUUCUCCACAGACGCUGCCGGGCUUGUGGAAUGCUUCCAGCAAGAUCUCUUUUCAUGAAACAUCAUUUACUGCUUACGAAUGUGUCAACAAUCAGUUAUUCGCUGGAACAGGAUAUCUAAAUCGCAAGUGCAAGAUUUGGAUGUGGUUUUGUAACAGCGACCUGUACACAUUGAUUGGUUCAAUGUUUGAUAUGUGUCAGUCAUCUGGGGGGAGAUAUAAUGGGGUUUCUGAUGGAUGUGAUUUCUGGGAUGAUACCUUUGCUGGAUACAUACAUUGGAAAGUUUUAUUCUCGUGGAGAAGACCACAACUGAGGAUGUCCCAACACAUUUGAUCUCUGAAUUGCAACAAACAUCAGCAGGAGACACCUUUCAUUAUGUACACCUUGGAUGGAUACAGUGCUGGUACCCCAGACCAAGGAGGUUCAAUCAACAUGCUUCAAUAUCGCAAAGGAUUCUGUUUCUGCUUGGUGUGUAAAGGCAUCUUCUGUUAACGCAGAAAGGUGGACACAGAGUAAUGUACCGGUGCAGAAUGACCACACAGGCUGCUUAUGGAGAUAGAGAGUCGCACAAGACGCUGGACCGGGACAACGCCUAAGCACGACUGGGCCUGAAUGAGAUUCCUGCCCAGAGUUCAUUUCAUUACAGAGGCAAUGUGACUGUCCUUCGCCCUAACCCUUCAUCAACUGAGAGCUGUGGUUCAGGGUGCAAAGAGUAUUUGAAUGAUCAAGAGUUACUGGAGAUCUUCACAUUCAUCUAGGAAUGAAGACAAGAACCUGGCUCUUCAAGUGAUAUUUGAAUCUUAUGUUUGUUUAUUCAUGCAGGUCUGGAAUUUGUAAAGGUGAGAAAACGGGAAAUGACAGGUACUCAUUACAAACCAUCAUCGCUCUUAAAUCUCUGAUCAGUAUUCAGAGGAACACAGGUAGACAAAACCAGAGGUCAAAAUCAAGGAAGUGAAAGCGUUUUAUAUUAAACAUUUGGCCAUUUUCUCUGCUGGAUUAGACUUAUAGAGGCAGGUUUUGAAGAACAGUAUUAAAGUGAGAUAGUUUACUGCUUAAAAGGCCAAUUGUGCUCACACUGAAUAGUGACAUGUAAACUGCUAGUCAAGGCUAUUAAAUUAUUUGGGCUUUAAAACAAGUAAUUGAAUAGGUUACAUGUUAAAUGGUUUCUUAAAAAGAAGUUCAGUGUGAAUUUUGGCAGCCACACCAGUGGCCCAAAGAUAACAACCUGUUCAGAGUGAGUAAUAGGCAAAUUAGAAAACACACAGCCUGCAACAGGCUGAAUGCAAAGUCACAAAUGAGCUGCAUACUUGUCCUGAUUAUUCUUUGUGUACAUGGGGCACACAGCUUUCUCUGCUCGGUCACAAAGGCAUACAUUUCUUUGACUGGCGAAGUGCCACUCCCAUGCCAAGCACGCUUUCAUUAGCAGAGGGUGAGGUGCCUGUUGAGCAGAGGCAUCAUUUCUUCUGGCCAGUAGGUGCUUUCAGCCAGACUGCUGAAAACAUACUCAAGCAGGUAACAAAUGAGCAGACUCAAGAGAUUUAUUCACACUUGCAGGAACUGUGAUUCCUAGAGAGAGAGAGAGACACACACACACAAAUAGACCAUGGUGUAUGGAGACUUCUGGCUAGAGUGUCAACAUGUUAUCUACUUGUCACCUGCUGGGAGCUAAAUAAACUGGUUGUUCACUAAUAACCUUGACCAGCACUCGCUGGGCGAUGGUGACUAGCUCAUGCUGUGACUACAGGGGUUGUGGCUGUGAGUGGGACAGUGGAACCACAGUCAUAAUCCAGAUCCACAAUGGUGUGAAUGUUUGUGUUCAGACUGCUCAUGGAUGUUGCUGUCUGCCGGUCUCGAAUACUCUGGAUGUAGCUCUAAAGAAACAAGGAGAAAAAUCAAUUAUUAUCAAGUUCUUUGAGGAUGUGACUAGAAAAGUUGAUGAGGGUCAAGUUGUGGAUGUGGUGUAUAUGGACUUCAGUAAGGCAUUUGAUAAGGUUCCCUAUGGUAGGCUCAUUCAGAAGGUCAGGAGGAAUGGGAUACAGGGGAACUUAGCUGUCUGGAUACAGAAUUGGCUGGCCAACAGAAGACAGCAAGUGGUAGUAGAAGGAAAAUAUUCUGCCUGGAAGUCAGUGGUGAGUGGGGUUCCACAGGGCUCUGUCCUUGGGCCUCUACUGUUUGUAAUUUUUAUUA
Long non-coding RNA from Stegostoma tigrinum, 5440 nucleotides. RefSeq lists it as uncharacterized. Lineage: Eukaryota; Metazoa; Chordata; Chondrichthyes; Orectolobiformes; Stegostomatidae. The transcript has 7 exons. The record is from RefSeq and is a predicted model, not a curated record.